GGUCUUAAAGGUUCAUGGAGGAGAAUCAAUCAAGUCCGCAAGCAUCUGAAGAGGUAAGGCCUUGUCAUCCUGUCACCAUAAGUCCCCCUGCUCAGUUUGUAGAUCAACUGAUUCCUUCUCUUCCCUUUGCAGGUCUCAGAGCAGUUUUUUCCAACAUCCGUAAGUGAGGACCAGCUCCAGGAAGCUCGAACAAAAUCCUUUCGGAAGAUAUUUGGCUCAAGCCAGAUCUUUUUAGCCAAGGACGAUAAACAAUGGCAGUCCAAGCCAUGCUCAUUCCAAGGCAUCGUGCAAGGAAAGGUCGCCGAGCAGUAAGGAAAUGGGCC
Non-coding RNA from Pelobates cultripes (western spadefoot toad), 323 nucleotides. The record is from the annotation of a GenBank genome assembly. NCBI's taxonomy places the organism in Eukaryota, Metazoa, Chordata, Amphibia, Anura, Pelobatidae.